RNAcentral lists this ribosomal RNA (468 nucleotides) under uncultured bacterium. RNAcentral describes it as "partial 16S ribosomal RNA". It matches the Rfam family "Bacterial small subunit ribosomal RNA", at positions 28 to 507 of the family's 1533-position model. The record is from RNAcentral.
GACGAACGCUGGCGGCGUGCUUAACACAUGCAAGUCGAACGGAAAGGCCCUGCUUUUGUGGGGUGCUCGAGUGGCGAACGGGUGAGUAACACGUGAGUAACCUGCCCUUGACUUUGGGAUAACUUCAGGAAACUGGGGCUAAUACCGGAUAGGAGCUCCUGCUGCAUGGUGGGGGUUGGAAAGUUUCGGCGGUUGGGGAUGGACUCGCGGCUUAUCAGCUUGUUGGUGGGGUAGUGGCUUACCAAGGCUUUGACGGGUAGCCGGCCUGAGAGGGUGACCGGCCACAUUGGGACUGAGAUCCGCCCCAGCCUCCUCCGGGAGCCAGCGGGGGGAAAUUUUGAACAUGGGGCGGAGGCCGGAUGCAGCACCGCCGGGUGCGGGAGGACGGCCUUCGGUUUGUAACCCUCUUUCGCCGGUGACGAAGGGGGGGUGACGGUAGUGGAUAAAGAAGCCCCGGCUAACUACGUG